RNAcentral lists this ribosomal RNA (495 nucleotides) under uncultured bacterium. Its description in RNAcentral is "bacterial SSU rRNA". It matches the Rfam family "Bacterial small subunit ribosomal RNA", at positions 19 to 507 of the family's 1533-position model. The record is from RNAcentral.
AUGGCUCAGAUUGAACGCUGGCGGCAUGCCUUACACAUGCAAGUCGAACGGCAGCACGGGAGCUUGCUCCUGGUGGCGAGUGGCGAACGGGUGAGUAAUACAUCGGAACGUACCCUGAAGUGGGGGAUAACGUAGCGAAAGUUACGCUAAUACCGCAUAUUCUGUGAGCAGGAAAGAGGGGGAUCGCAAGACCUCUUGCUUUAGGAGCGGCCGAUGUCGGAUUAGCUAGUUGGUGAGGUAAAGGCUCACCAAGGCGACGAUCCGUAGCGGGUCUGAGAGGAUGAUCCGCCACACUGGGACUGAGACACGGCCCAGACUCCUACGGGAGGCAGCAGUGGGGAAUUUUGGACAAUGGGCGCAAGCCUGAUCCAGCCAUGCCGCGUGAGUGAAGAAGGCCUUCGGGUUGUAAAGCUCUUUCGGUGGGGAAGAAAUUGCUUCGGUUAAUACCUGGAGUAGAUGACGGUACCCGCAUAAGAAGCACCGGCUAACUACGUG